ACUACCGAUUGAAUGGCUUAGUGAGAUCUCCGGAUUGGCUUUAGGAAGCUGGCGACGGCCUCCUUUAGCUGAGAAGCUGAUCAAACUUGGUCAUUUAGAGGAAGUAAAAGUCGUACAAGG
Molecule: ribosomal RNA, 120 nt
Filed under: Syzygospora sp.
Lineage: Eukaryota; Fungi; Basidiomycota; Tremellomycetes; Tremellales; Syzygosporaceae
Description: partial small subunit ribosomal RNA
Rfam family: Eukaryotic small subunit ribosomal RNA
Source: RNAcentral